GAUGAACGCUGGCGGCGUGCUUAAUACAUGCAAGUCGAACGGAGAUAGUAGCAAUAUUAUCUUAGUGGCGAACGGGUGAGUAACGCGUUGGUGACCUGCCCCGAAGAGAGGGAUAGCAGUUCGAAAGGACUGAUAAUACCUCAUGUGGUUGUUGGUUUUAGAAUCUGACAACUAAACGGAUUUAUUCGCUUCGGGAGGGGCCUGCGUCCCAUCAGCUAGUUGGUAGGGUAAUGGCCUACCAAGGCGAUGACGGGUAGGGGACCUGAGAGGGUGGCCCCCCACAAUGGAACUGAAACACGGUCCAUACACCUACGGGUGGCAGCAGUAGGGAAUAUUGGUAAUCUGCGAAAGCGGGAACCAGCAACGCCGCGUGCACGAUGAAGGCCUUCGGGUCGUAAAGUGCUUUUAGAGAGGAUGAGGAAGGACAGUACUUUCUGAAUAAGCCUCGGCUAACUACGUG
Molecule: ribosomal RNA, 460 nt
Filed under: uncultured bacterium
Lineage: Bacteria
Description: bacterial SSU rRNA
Rfam family: Bacterial small subunit ribosomal RNA
Source: RNAcentral